RNAcentral lists this transfer RNA (66 nucleotides) under Aleurochiton aceris. RNAcentral's name for it is "tRNA-Ser". Lineage: Eukaryota; Metazoa; Arthropoda; Insecta; Hemiptera; Aleyrodidae. The record is from RNAcentral.
UUAAAGCUAUUAUUUAACUAACGUUUUGAAAACGUUAUUUUAGAGUUGUUACUCUUUAGCUUUUAA